This 1162-nucleotide ribosomal RNA is filed under the name Flavobacterium psychrophilum. Its description in RNAcentral is "bacterial SSU rRNA". It matches the Rfam family "Bacterial small subunit ribosomal RNA", at positions 1 to 1173 of the family's 1533-position model. RNAcentral also lists the same sequence under 1 other name. The record is from RNAcentral. Lineage: Bacteria; Pseudomonadati; Bacteroidota; Flavobacteriia; Flavobacteriales; Flavobacteriaceae.
UACGAUGAAGAGUUUGAUCCUGGCUCAGGAUGAACGCUAGCGGCAGGCUUAACACAUGCAAGUCGAGGGGUAGAAUAGCAAUAUUUGAGACCGGCGCACGGGUGCGUAACGCGUAUGCAAUCUACCUUUUACAGAGGGAUAGCCCAGAGAAAUUUGGAUUAAUACCUCAUAGUAUAGUGAGUUGGCAUCAACACACUAUUAAAGUCACAACGGUAAAAGAUGAGCAUGCGUCCCAUUAGCUAGUUGGUAAGGUAACGGCUUACCAAGGCAACGAUGGGUAGGGGUCCUGAGAGGGAGAUCCCCCACACUGGUACUGAGACACGGACCAGACUCCUACGGGAGGCAGCAGUGAGGAAUAUUGGUCAAUGGGCGCAAGCCUGAACCAGCCAUGCCGCGUGCAGGAUGACGGUCCUAUGGAUUGUAAACUGCUUUUGCACAGGAAGAAACACUCGGUCGUGACCGAGCUUGACGGUACUGUGAGAAUAAGGAUCGGCUAACUCCGUGCCAGCAGCCGCGGUAAUACGGAGGAUCCAAGCGUUAUCCGGAAUCAUUGGGUUUAAAGGGUCCGUAGGCGGCCAGAUAAGUCAGUGGUGAAAGCCCAUCGCUCAACGAUGGAACGGCCAUUGAUACUGUUUGGCUUGAAUUAUUUGGAAGUAACUAGAAUAUGUAGUGUAGCGGUGAAAUGCUUAGAGAUUACAUGGAAUACCAAUUGCGAAGGCAGGUUACUACAAAUUGAUUGACGCUGAUGGACGAAAGCGUGGGUAGCGAACAGGAUUAGAUACCCUGGUAGUCCACGCCGUAAACGAUGGAUACUAGCUGUUGGGAGCAAUCUCAGUGGCUAAGCGAAAGUGAUAAGUAUCCCACCUGGGGAGUACGUUCGCAAGAAUGAAACUCAAAGGAAUUGACGGGGGCCCGCACAAGCGGUGGAGCAUGUGGUUUAAUUCGAUGAUACGCGAGGAACCUUACCAAGGCUUAAAUGUAGAUUGACCGGUUUGGAAACAGACUUUUCGCAAGACAAUUUACAAGGUGCUGCAUGGUUGUCGUCAGCUCGUGCCGUGAGGUGUCAGGUUAAGUCCUAUAACGAGCGCAACCCCUGUUGUUAGUUGCCAGCGAGUCAUGUCGGGAACUCUAGCAAGACUGCCAGUGUAUACUGUGAGGAAGG